GGAUGUAGUUCAAUGAUAGAGCACAUGUCUAACAUACAUAGGCCCUGAGUUCAAUCUUCAGCAUCAGCA
Molecule: transfer RNA, 69 nt
Filed under: Neotoma lepida (desert woodrat)
Lineage: Eukaryota; Metazoa; Chordata; Mammalia; Rodentia; Cricetidae
Rfam family: tRNA
About the family: Transfer RNA (tRNA) molecules are approximately 80 nucleotides in length. Their secondary structure includes four short double-helical elements and three loops (D, anti-codon, and T loops). Further hydrogen bonds mediate the characteristic L-shaped molecular structure. tRNAs have two regions of fundamental functional importance: the anti-codon, which is responsible for specific mRNA codon recognition, and the 3' end, to which the tRNAs corresponding amino acid is attached (by aminoacyl-tRNA synthetases). tRNAs cope with the degeneracy of the genetic code in two manners: having more than one tRNA (with a specific anti-codon) for a particular amino acid; and 'wobble' base-pairing, i.e. permitting non-standard base-pairing at the 3rd anti-codon position.
Source: Rfam by way of RNAcentral